CCUACGGGUGGCAGCAGUGAGGAAUCUUCGUCAAUGGGCGCGAGCCUGAACCAGCCAAGUCGCGUGAGGGAAGACGGUCCUAUGGCUUGUAAACCUCUUUUGUCGGGGAGCAAAAGACGUCACGCGUGUCGUUUCGAGAGUACCUGAAGUAAAAGCAUCGGCUAACGCCGUGCCAGCAGCCGCGGUAAUACGGGGGAUGCGAGCGGUAUCCGGAUUUAUUGGGUUUAAAGGGUGCGCAGGCGGAAGAGCAAGUCAGCGGUAAAAGUGAGAGGCUCAACCUCUUCGAGCCGUUGAAACUGGCAGUCUCGAGUUGGAGAGAAGGAUGCGGAAUGCGCGGUGUAGCGGUGAAAUGCAUAGAUAUCGCGCAGAACGCCGAUUGCGAAGGCAGCAUGCCGGCUCCAAACUGACGCUGAGGCACGAAAGCGUGGGUAUCGAACAGGAUUAGAUACCCCUGUAGUC
This 459-nucleotide ribosomal RNA is filed under the name uncultured bacterium. RNAcentral's name for it is "partial 16S ribosomal RNA". It matches the Rfam family "Bacterial small subunit ribosomal RNA", at positions 338 to 795 of the family's 1533-position model. The record is from RNAcentral.